GAUGAACGCUGGCGGCGUGCCUAAUACAUGCAAGUCGAGCGAACGGACGAGAAGCUUGCUUCUCUGAUGUUAGCGGCGGACGGGUGAGUAACACGUGGAUAGCCUACCUAUAAGACUAGGAUAACUUCGGGAAACCGGAGCUAAUACCGGAUGAUAUUUUGAACCGCAUGGUUCAAUAGUGAAAGACGGUCUUGCUGUCACUUAUAGAUGGAUCCGCGCUGCAUUAGCUAGUUGGUAAGGUAACGGCUUACCAAGGCAACGAUGCAUAGCCGACCUGAGAGGGUGAUCGGCCACACUGGAACUGAGACACGGUCCAGACUCCUACGGGAGGCAGCAGUAGGGAAUCUUCCGCAAUGGGCGAAAGCCUGACGGAGCAACGCCGCGUGAGUGAUGAAGGUCUUCGGAUCGUAAAACUCUGUUAUUAGGGAAGAACAUAUGUGUAAGUAACUGUGCACAUCUUGACGGUACCUAAUCAGAAAGCCACGGCUAACUACGUG
RNAcentral lists this ribosomal RNA (497 nucleotides) under uncultured bacterium. RNAcentral's name for it is "partial 16S ribosomal RNA". It matches the Rfam family "Bacterial small subunit ribosomal RNA", at positions 28 to 507 of the family's 1533-position model. The record is from RNAcentral.